RNAcentral lists this ribosomal RNA (1408 nucleotides) under Tropisternus lateralis. RNAcentral describes it as "SSU rRNA". It matches the Rfam family "Eukaryotic small subunit ribosomal RNA", at positions 417 to 1746 of the family's 1831-position model. The record is from RNAcentral. Lineage: Eukaryota; Metazoa; Arthropoda; Insecta; Coleoptera; Hydrophilidae.
CAAGGAAGGCAGCAGGCGCGCAAAUUACCCACUCCCGGCACGGGGAGGUAGUGACGAAAAAUAACGAUACGGGACUCAUCCGAGGCCCCGUAAUCGGAAUGAGUACACUCUAAACCCUUUAACGAGGAUCAAUUGGAGGGCAAGUCUGGUGCCAGCAGCCGCGGUAAUUCCAGCUCCAAUAGCGUAUAUUAAAGUUGUUGCGGUUAAAAAGCUCGUAGUCGAAUCUGUGUCCCGCGCCGCCGGUUCAUCGCUCGCGGUGUUUAACUGGCGUGCCGCGAGACGUCCUGCCGGUGGGCUUAGCUCGUUCGCGGGCGGCCCAACUUCAAAUCCCACCGCGGUGCUCUUGACUGAGUGUCGAGGUGGGCCGGCACGUUUACUUUGAACAAAUUAGAGUGCUUAAAGCAGGCUAAAACUUCGCCUGAAUACUGUGUGCAUGGAAUAAUGGAAUAGGACCUCGGUUCUAUUUUGUUGGUUUUCGGAACCCCGAGGUAAUGAUUAAUAGGAACGGAUGGGGGCAUUCGUAUUGCGACGUUAGAGGUGAAAUUCUUGGAUCGUCGCAAGACGGACAGAAGCGAAAGCAUUUGCCAAAAACGCUUUCAUUGAUCAAGAACGAAAGUUAGAGGUUCGAAGGCGAUCAGAUACCGCCCUAGUUCUAACCAUAAACGAUGCCAGCUAGCGAUCCGCCGACGUUCCUCCGAUGACUCGGCGGGCAGCUUCCGGGAAACCAAAGCUUUUGGGUUCCGGGGGAAGUAUGGUUGCAAAGCUGAAACUUAAAGGAAUUGACGGAAGGGCACCACCAGGAGUGGAGCCUGCGGCUUAAUUUGACUCAACACGGGAAACCUCACCAGGCCCGGACACCGGAAGGAUUGACAGAUUGAGAGCUCUUUCUUGAUUCGGUGGGUGGUGGUGCAUGGCCGUUCUUAGUUGGUGGAGCGAUUUGUCUGGUUAAUUCCGAUAACGAACGAGACUCUAGCCUGCUAACUAGGCGUAUUUUCGACAUCUCAAAGGCCCGCCGGCCCGGCGUAUUCGCGUCGCGGUUGGGCGCGGUUUUUACUGUCGGCGUACAAUCAAUUCUUCUUAGAGGGACAGGCGGCUUCUAGCCGCACGAGAUUGAGCAAUAACAGGUCUGUGAUGCCCUUAGAUGUUCUGGGCCGCACGCGCGCUACACUGAAGGAAUCAGCGUGUCCUCCCUGGCCGAGAGGCCCGGGUAACCCGCUGAACCUCCUUCGUGCUAGGGAUUGGGGCUUGCAAUUGUUCCCCAUGAACGAGGAAUUCCCAGUAAGCGCGAGUCAUAAGCUCGCGUUGAUUACGUCCCUGCCCUUUGUNCACACCGCCCGUCGCUACUACCGAUUGAAUGAUUUAGUGAGGUNUNNGGACCGGUACGCGGCNGCGCUCCGCGUCGCCGAUG